GUGAGAGUGCUGUGUAUGAUGUGUGUGAGUGUGCUGUGUAUGAUGUGUGUGAGAGUGCUGAGUGUGAUGAGUGUGAGAGUGCAGAGUGUGAUGUGUGUGAGAGUGCUGUGUAUGAUGUGUGUGAGAGUGCUGUGUAUGAUGUGUGUGAGAGUGCUGAGUGUGAUGAGUGUGAGAGUGCUGUGUAUGAUGUGUGUGAGAGUGCUGUGUAUGAUGUGUGUGAGAGUGCUGUGUAUAAUGUGUGUGAGAGUGCUGUGUAUGAUGUAUGUGAGAGUGCUGUGUAUGAUGUGUGUGAGAGUGCUGUGUAUGAUGUGUGUGAGAGUGCUGUGUAUGAUGUGUGUGAGAGUGCAGAGUGUGAUGUGUGAGAG
This is a non-coding RNA of Pelobates cultripes (western spadefoot toad), 365 nucleotides long. The record is from the annotation of a GenBank genome assembly. Lineage: Eukaryota; Metazoa; Chordata; Amphibia; Anura; Pelobatidae.